This is a non-coding RNA of Camellia sinensis, 2050 nucleotides long. The record is from RefSeq and is a predicted model, not a curated record. NCBI's taxonomy places the organism in Eukaryota, Viridiplantae, Streptophyta, Magnoliopsida, Ericales, Theaceae.
GAAAUGGGAAAGGAGAAGCCAAAAUCCAUAGGAGUAUGGCCUGCAGUCAAACCCUUCGUCAAUAGUGAAGCGUCUGGCAUGCUCGCUACCUGUGUUAUCCAACUCAUCGACAUGAUCAAGGCAACUAUUGCGGAGGUACAAAGUCUUCUGGUUUCUGAUAGAAAGAAGAGGCUUUACAUUGUGCAACCGAGGGUCAGUUAUGGGGUCCUGCACUUGUUCUUGCCGCACAACUUGGUGAUCAGCUUUAUGUCGACACUGUGAAGAAAAUGGCGCUUCGUCAGCUAGUAACAGGCUCACCUUUGUGGACAUUAUGCCUGCUAAUUGCUGGUCGACUAGCAGAUGUCUUUUCUACAGACAACAUGUCUGGUGGCAGCAUUCCUGGUGCUGUAAAUAUGUCUCCACAGUCUGCGCAGUAUGGCACUAAUUUUAUGCUAGACAAUUGGGAAGAGAAUUUGGCAGUAAUAACUGCUAAUAGAACAAAAGAUGAUGAACUCGUGCUUAUUCAUCUUGGAGAUUGCCUGUGGAAAGAGAGGAGUGAGGUACAUUCUGUAUAUUAUUCCUCUUCUUCAAGGUUUUAAGUGAACUUAUUUUCAUUCUUGCUACAUUUUUUUUAGUCUUGUUUUGUGGCUUAUUCUUACAUGAAAGUUAUGAUUCAGAAUAUUGCGGCAUACAUUUGUUACUUAGUUGCAGAAGCAAACUUUGAACCAUAUUCGGACAGUGCAAGAUUGUGUCUUAUUGGAGCAGAUCACUGGAAAUUCCCUCGAACAUAUGCUAGUCCAGAUGUUAUUCAGAGGAUAGAGUUAUAUGAAUAUUCUAAGGUGCUUGGAAACACUCAGUUUAUCUUGCUACCAUUUCAACCAUAUAAGUUUGUAUAUGCACAUAUGCUAGCUGAUUUGGGAAAAGUAACAGAGUCAUUGAAGUAUGUAUACAAAACCUUUUCUAUCAUUGAGGGUUCUAUUUAGCUUUUGGUCUCUUAUCAUCAUGAAUUUAAUUCAGGUACUGUCAAGCACUAUUGAAAUCUCUGAAAACUGGUCGAGCACCAGAAGUGGACACAUGGAGACAAUUAGUCUCAUCACCUGAGGAGAGGAUACGAACUCACCAACAGGGUGGAUACUCCGUAAACUUGGCUCCGGCAAAAUUAGUAGGCAAAUAGCUCAAUCUUUUCGAUAGUACAGCUCAUCGUGUUGUUGGGGGCCUACCUCCACCUAUACCAUCAACAUCACAGGGUGCUGCAUAGGCUAGUGAACAUUAUUACCAAACCAUGGGGCCUAGAGUAUCAACUAGUCAAUCAACCAUGGCAAUGUCAUCACUAAUACCUUUAGCAUCAAUAUAGAGCCCAUAAGUGAAUGGACAGCUGAUGGCAAUAGAAUGACAGUGCAUAACAAAAGUGUUUCAGAGCCAGAUUUUGGCAAAACCCCGAGACUAAGAUGGAAUCUGAUGAUCAAAUCAUCCAGCUAUUUUCAAAGGAUUAGAGUUCUCAAUAAUAAUGCUAUUGUUCUUUCUGUUUUCUACAGGACUAAGGUGGAAUCUGAUGAUCAUGUGUUAUUGCACUGUCUGUUUAUUUGGUUACUUUGGUCACAUGUUAUUAGAUGGCGGGGUUUAGUUUGGGCAUUACUAGGCUCUGUUAAUGACUUACUCCAAUGGUGGGCCGGUGUAAACCUGUCAAAACUGGAGAGGAAAAUCUAGAAUUCCAUUCUAUUUACUGUUUUAUGGUGGAGGAAUCAAAGUUUGUGUUUGAAGCCAAGAUAAUCUAGAGAAUGGAGCUUCUGGUGCUAUCUACUCUUCAAUGGAAGAUGAAUUCUCUGACCCACUUUUAUUUGUUAAUCACAUUGUGAGGAGGUUUGGAUUUAAGACAGAUUUGCAUUUGGAGUUUUUGUGGUGUAUGGUCACACAAUCUCCAGAUUUAUUCGUAAAUCUUGAAAGUUGUCGAUAUGUUUAGAAAGUUAGAUAUGUAUAGUUUUGGAUGACUUAAAUUUUUUGUAAAGUUUAGAACUUAAGAAUAUAUUUUUUGAAUGUUUGGAAUGUAUAGACAAUUGUUGAAUAUUUAUAA